CCUACGGGGGGCUGCAGUGGGGAAUAUUGGACAAUGGGGGCAACCCUGAUCCAGCCAUGCCGCGUGUGUGAAGAAGGCCCUCGGGUUGUAAAGCACUUUCAGUGAGGAAGAACGCCUGGUGGUUAAUACCCAUCAGGAAAGACAUCACUCACAGAAGAAGCACCGGCUAACUCCGUGCCAGCAGCCGCGGUAAUACGGAGGGUGCGAGCGUUAAUCGGAAUUACUGGGCGUAAAGCGCGCGUAGGUGGCUUGAUAAGCCGAUUGUGAAAGCCCCGGGCUCAACCUGGGAACGGCAUCCGGAACUGUCAAGCUAGAGUGCAGGAGAGGAAGGUAGAAUUCCCGGUGUAGCGGUGAAAUGCGUAGAGAUCGGGAGGAAUACCAGUGGCGAAGGCGGCCUUCUGGACUGACACUGACACUGAGGUGCGAAAGCGUGGGUAGCAAACAGGAUUAGAUACCCGGGUAGUC
Molecule: ribosomal RNA, 465 nt
Filed under: Vreelandella stevensii
Lineage: Bacteria; Pseudomonadati; Pseudomonadota; Gammaproteobacteria; Oceanospirillales; Halomonadaceae
Description: partial 16S ribosomal RNA
Rfam family: Bacterial small subunit ribosomal RNA
Source: RNAcentral